This 672-nucleotide ribosomal RNA is filed under the name uncultured Gammaproteobacteria bacterium. RNAcentral's name for it is "bacterial SSU rRNA". It matches the Rfam family "Bacterial small subunit ribosomal RNA", at positions 89 to 793 of the family's 1533-position model. Lineage: Bacteria; Pseudomonadati; Pseudomonadota; Gammaproteobacteria. The record is from RNAcentral.
AGUAGAGUGGCGGACGGGCUGAGUAACGCGUGGGAAUCUACCCAGUAGUGGGGGACAACUACCGGAAACGGUAGCUAAUACCGCAUACGCCCUAUGGGGGAAAGGCUUCGGCCGCUAUUGGAUGAGCCCGCGUCAGAUUAGCUAGUUGGUAGGGUAAAGGCCUACCAAGGCAACGAUCUGUAGCUGGUCUGAGAGGACGAACAGCCACACUGGGACUGAGACACGGCCCAGACUCCUACGGGAGGCAGCAGAGGGGAAUAUUGGACAAUGGGCGAAAGCCUGAUCCAGCAAUGCCGCGUGUGUGAAGAAGGCCUGCGGGUUGUAAAGCACUUUCAGUUGGGAAGAUGAUGACGUUACCAACAGAAGAAGCACCGGCUAAAUCCGUGCCAGCAGCCGCGGUAAUACGGAUGGUGCGAGCGUUAAUCGGAAUUACUGGGCGUAAAGCGCGCGUAGGCGGCUAAGUCAGUCAGAAGUGAAAGCCCCGGGCUCAACCUGGGAAUUGCUUUUGAUACUGCUUAGCUAGAGUUUGGUAGAGGAUAGUGGAAUUCCAGGUGUAGCGGUGAAAUGCGUAGAUAUCUGGAGGAACAUCAGUGGCGAAGGCGACUGUCUGGACCAAAACUGACGCUGAGGUGCGAAAGCGUGGGUAGCAAACAGGAUUAGAUACCCUGGUAG